AGAGUUUGAUCAUGGCUCAGAACGAACGCUGGCGGCGUGCUUAACACAUGCAAGUCGCGUGCGCAGUUUCCUGUAGCAAUACAGGGGAUAGGCGCACGGCGCACGGGUGCGUAACACGUGGGCAAUCUGCCCUCCGAUGGGGAAUAACCCCGCGAAAGCGGGGCUAAUACCGCAUAACAUUCCUUGAGCGACGGUUCGAGGAUUCAAAGCAGCAAUGCGUCGGAGGAGGAGCCCGCGCCCGAUUAGUUAGUUGGUGAGGUAACGGCUCACCAAGACAAUGAUCGGUAGCUGGUCUGAGAGGACGAUCAGCCACACUGGAACUGAGACACGGUCCAGACUCCUACGGGAGGCAGCAGUGGGGAAUCUUGCACAAUGGGCGAAAGCCUGAUGCAGCGACGCCGCGUGGGGGAUGAAGCUUUUCGGAGUGUAAACCCCUUUCGCCUGGGACGAAUGCCUCGCAAGAGGAGUGACGGUACCAGGAUAAGAAGCCCCGGCUAACUACGUGCCAGCAGCCGCGGUAAGACGUAGGGGGCCAGCGUUGUUCGGAAUUACUGGGUGUAAAGGGUUCGUAGGCGGUGUGGCAAGUUGGGAGUGAAAUCUCUGGGCUCAACCCAGAGGCUGCUUCCAAAACUGCUGUGCUUGAGUGUGAGAGAGGCUCGUGGAAUUGCAGGUGUAGCGGUGAAAUGCGUAGAUAUCUGCAGGAACACCCGUGGCGAAAGCGGCGAGCUGGAUCACUACUGACGCUGAGGAACGAAAGCUAGGGGAGCAAACAGGAUUAGAUACCCUAGUAGUCC
This 794-nucleotide ribosomal RNA is filed under the name uncultured bacterium. RNAcentral's name for it is "bacterial SSU rRNA". It matches the Rfam family "Bacterial small subunit ribosomal RNA", at positions 8 to 796 of the family's 1533-position model. The record is from RNAcentral.